Molecule: ribosomal RNA, 643 nt
Filed under: Escherichia coli
Lineage: Bacteria; Pseudomonadati; Pseudomonadota; Gammaproteobacteria; Enterobacterales; Enterobacteriaceae
Also listed under: 1 other name
Description: partial 23S ribosomal RNA
Rfam family: Bacterial large subunit ribosomal RNA
Source: RNAcentral
GGGUAGUUUGACUGGGGCGGUCUCCUCCUAAAGAGUAACGGAGGAGCACGAAGGUUGGCUAAUCCUGGUCGGACAUCAGGAGGUUAGUGCAAUGGCAUAAGCCAGCUUGACUGCGAGCGUGACGGCGCGAGCAGGUGCGAAAGCAGGUCAUAGUGAUCCGGUGGUUCUGAAUGGAAGGGCCAUCGCUCAACGGAUAAAAGGUACUCCGGGGAUAACAGGCUGAUACCGCCCAAGAGUUCAUAUCGACGGCGGUGUUUGGCACCUCGAUGUCGGCUCAUCACAUCCUGGGGCUGAAGUAGGUCCCAAGGGUAUGGCUGUUCGCCAUUUAAAGUGGUACGCGAGCUGGGUUUAGAACGUCGUGAGACAGUUCGGUCCCUAUCUGCCGUGGGCGCUGGAGAACUGAGGGGGGCUGCUCCUAGUACGAGAGGACCGGAGUGGACGCAUCACUGGUGUUCGGGUUGUCAUGCCAAUGGCACUGCCCGGUAGCUAAAUGCGGAAGAGAUAAGUGCUGAAAGCAUCUAAGCACGAAACUUGCCCCGAGAUGAGUUCUCCCUGAGACUUAGAGUCUCCUGAAGGAACGUUGAAGACGACGACGUUGAUAGGCCGGGUGUGUAAGCGCAGCGAUGCGUUGAGCUAACCGGUA